UGAGGUUUUCUGAUGAGAGGAGCAUGAAGGGCUCCGCCUGCUCCGUGCAUGCUCCUCUUAUAAGCCAUGUGCAGCUCUGUGAGUGCAGCCUCUCAGCAGAGACCAAGCAUUGCUGCAUCAAACACACGCUGUGAUGGAUGAGGACUUUGACCGUAGGAUGGAGAUGAGAAGACAGAGGAGGGAGCAGAUGCGCCUUGAAGCUGAAAAUAUCACUUUCACCAAUGAUGAGGAUGAGGAGGAGUCUCGAGAACGAAGGAGGAGAGCGAGAGAGGAGAGGAAGAAGAUGAGAGAACAGGAAGAAGCUGUGAUUGACACCAACAGCGUCACAAUGGAUGAAACUUCUGAGGAGGGCUCAGCCGAAGCACAGGAUGACCAGGAUCUGCUGCAGCGCCUGGAGAAGAGAGAGGAGCGUCGGCAGAUGAGGAUGAAGGAAGCCAUGGAGAGACAGAGGGAGCUGGACCCGACCUUCGCAACCACCAAUGGCACAGAGUAUGAGAAUGUCUGUGAGGAGGACAAAAAACAUGAGGAGGAAGAGAUAAACAAGGAGGUGUGUGAGGACAAGAAAGUGGAGACCGUCUGUGAGGAGGACGACAAGGACGUCUGUGAGGAAGACGUAAAGGACGUCUGUGAGGAAGACGUAAAGGACGUCUGUGAGGAAGACGUAAAGGACGUCUGUGAGGAAGACGUAAAGGACGUCUGUGAGGAAGACGUAAAGGACGUCUGUGAGGAAGACAUAAAGGACGUCUGUGAGGAGGAGGAAAGAACUGAAGAGUCACACAAAGAUAUGGAGGAGAAGAAAGGAGCAGAAGGCGAGAAGGAAGAGGAACAAGUAGAAAAGGAGGAGGAAGAGGAGAUGACCAAGGAAGACGAGCAGGAGAAAGAAAAGAGGAGGAAAAGAGAUGAAGAGGAGGAGUUAGAAAAGGAGAGGAAAAGAGAAGAGCAGAGAAAGACGGAAGAAGAAGAAGAGGAGCAAAAGAGGAAGGAAGAGGAGGAAGAAAGGAUGAAAAUAGAGAAGGAAGAGAGGAAGAAGGAAGAAGAGGAAAAGAGAAAAGAAGAAGAAAGACUGAAAAGAGAAGAAGAGGUGAAAAAGAGGGAAGAAGAAGAACGUCUUGAAAAGGAAGCAGAGGAAAGGAAGAAGAGAGAGGAAGAUGAAAUGAAGAAGAGAGAAGAGGAGGAGAGAGAAAGGAAAGAGAUGCAGGAGAAAAAGAGACGAGAAGAAGAAGAGAGGCUGAAGAAAGAGGAAGAAGAGAGACGAAAGAAGGAAACAGAGGAAAAGAGGAAGAAAGAGGAAGAGGAGAAAAGGAGAAAAGAAGUGGAAGAGAGGAAGAAGAAGGAGGAAGAAGAGAAGAAAAGGAAGGAGGAAGAGAGGAAGAGGAAAGAGGAAGAGGAGAAGAAAAGGAAGGAGGAAGAAAAGAAGAGGAAGGAAGAAGAGGAGAAGAACAGGAAGGAGGAAGAAAAGAAGAGGAAGGAGGAAGAGGAGAAGAACAGCAAGGAGGAAGAAAAGAAGAGGAAAGAGGAAGAUGAAAAGAAGAGGAAGAGGCAGGCAGAUGCAAAGAAGAAAGAGGAGGUAACAAAUUUUAUAAUGAUUAAAUACAAUAAACACAAUAAACAAACAAACAAAGAACAAGAAUAUUCCCUUGCUUUAAUUUCAAGGAGGAGAAGUUAA
Molecule: long non-coding RNA, 1666 nt
Filed under: Gouania willdenowi (blunt-snouted clingfish)
Lineage: Eukaryota; Metazoa; Chordata; Actinopteri; Blenniiformes; Gobiesocidae
Description: lncRNA (ENSGWIG00000011102.1)
Source: RNAcentral